ACAGUAGCUUUUUUAAAAGAACAAGUAAGAGGAGGGUUAGUCUCAAGGUUUAACACCUUUUUUACGUCGUCAUCGUGUCUCUUUGCUGUUUAACUCUGCUCUUGUAUGUCGAUAUAUAUCUAGCAAUAUUGCAUCGAUCGCUAUCCCGCGUGGGUGCCGCCAUCGUACGACGAUCCAACCAAUCGCGUGUCCUCUUGAAGAUGGCUGCCGCAUCGGCGUUAGAGUUCGACGACGACGACGACGGGGUUUCGUGCGGUGCUCGCGCGAGCACCAAGUCCAAGUCCUAAACUCGCUUCGGAUAUAUUAUAGAUCGAUUUUUCCACUUAAACAUUAAGUAUAUAACAAAUCCACCUUGUCUACUCUAGAGACCUCCUCAGACUUGCCAGUGAGUGGACACUUAAAUAAUUAAAUAAAUAAACCAACUAUUUAAUUACAAUAAAUAAUUAUCGAUUUGACAGUGAUGUGUGCUAUUGGUGUUUAGUUCAUCUGAAAG
Molecule: long non-coding RNA, 493 nt
Organism: Microplitis mediator
Lineage: Eukaryota; Metazoa; Arthropoda; Insecta; Hymenoptera; Braconidae
Exons: 2
Source: RefSeq, a predicted model, not a curated record